Molecule: ribosomal RNA, 633 nt
Filed under: uncultured bacterium
Lineage: Bacteria
Description: bacterial SSU rRNA
Rfam family: Bacterial small subunit ribosomal RNA
Source: RNAcentral
UAUGGUGCGACGCCGCGUGAGGGAUGAAGGUCUCGGAUUGUAAACCUCUGUCACCGGGGAAGAAACGCUUUGAGUAAUAGUUCAAAGCCUGACUUAACCCGGAGAGGAAGCAGUGGCUAACUCUGUGCCAGCAGCCGCGGUAAUACAGAGACUGCAAGCGUUAUUCGGAUUCACUGGGCGUAAAGGGUGCGCAGGCGGCCGUGUGUGUGAGGCGUGAAAGCCCGGAGCUUAACUCCGGAAUUGCACCUCAAACUACACGGCUAGAGCAUUGGAGAGGGUAGCGGAAUUCACGGUGUAGCAGUGAAAUGCGUAGAUAUCGUGAGGAACACCAGAGGCGAAGGCGGCUACCUGGACAAUUGCUGACGCUCAGGCACGAAAGCGUGGGGAGCAAAAGGGAUUAGAUACCCCUGUAGUCCACGCCCUAAACGGUGCACACUAGGUCUUGGCGGAUUCGAGCCCACCAGGGCCCAAGCUAACGCGUUAAGUGUGCCGCCUGAGGACUACGGCCGCAAGGCUAAAACUCAAAGGAAUUUGACGGGGGCCCGCACAAGCGGUGGAGUAUGUGGCUCAAUUCGAUGCAACGCGAAGAAACUUACCUAGCCUUGACAUGCAGGAGACCGGCGCUGAAAGGCG